GACGAACGCUGGCGGCGUGCCUAAUACAUGCAAGUUGAGCGCUGAAGGUUGGUUCUUGUACCGACUGGAUGAGCAGCGAACGGGUGAGUAACGCGUGGGGAAUCUGCCUUUGAGCGGGGGACAACAUUUGGAAACGAAUGCUAAUACCGCAUAAAAACUUUAAACACAAGUUUUAAGUUUGAAAGAUGCAAUUGCAUCACUCAAAGAUGAUCCCGCGUUGUAUUAGCUAGUUGGUGAGGUAAAGGCUCACCAAGGCGAUGAUACAUAGCCGACCUGAGAGGGUGAUCGGCCACAUUGGGACUGAGACACGGCCCAAACUCCUACGGGAGGCAGCAGUAGGGAAUCUUCGGCAAUGGACGAAAGUCUGACCGAGCAACGCCGCGUGAGUGAAGAAGGUUUUCGGAUCGGAAAACUCUGUUGGUAGGGAAGAACGUUGGUGAGAGUGGAAAGCUCAUCAAGUGACGGUAACUACCCAGAAAGGGACGGCUAACUACGUG
Molecule: ribosomal RNA, 497 nt
Filed under: uncultured bacterium
Lineage: Bacteria
Description: partial 16S ribosomal RNA
Rfam family: Bacterial small subunit ribosomal RNA
Source: RNAcentral